RNAcentral lists this ribosomal RNA (253 nucleotides) under uncultured bacterium. RNAcentral describes it as "partial 16S ribosomal RNA". It matches the Rfam family "Bacterial small subunit ribosomal RNA", at positions 524 to 776 of the family's 1533-position model. The record is from RNAcentral.
UACGCAGGUGGCAAGCGCUAUCCGGAUUUAUUGGGCGUAAAGGGAACGCAGGCGGUCUUUUAAGUCUGAUGUGAAAGCCUUCGGCUUAACCGGAGUAGUGCAUUGGAAACUGGGAGACUUGAGUGCAGAAGAGGAGAGUGGAACUCCAUGUGUAGCGGUGAAAUGCGUAGAUAUAUGGAAGAACACCAGUGGCGAAAGCGGCUCUCUGGUCUGUAACUGACGCUGAGGUUCGAAAGCGUGGGUAGCAAACAGG